This 460-nucleotide ribosomal RNA is filed under the name uncultured bacterium. RNAcentral's name for it is "partial 16S ribosomal RNA". It matches the Rfam family "Bacterial small subunit ribosomal RNA", at positions 338 to 795 of the family's 1533-position model. The record is from RNAcentral.
CCUACGGGGGGCAGCAGUGAGGAAUAUUGGUCAAUGGGCUUACGCCUGAACCAGCAAAGUCGCGUGAGGGAAGACUGCCCUAUGGGUUGUAAACCUCUUCUGUCAGGGAGCAAUUGGCGCUACGUGUAGCGUUAUCGAGAGUACCUGAAGAAAAAGCAUCGGCUAACUCCGUGCCAGCAGCGGCGGUAAUACGGAGGAUGCGAGGGUUAUCCGGAUUGAUUGGGUUUACAGGGUCCGCAGGCGGAAUGCCAAGUCAGCGGUAAAAUCGCGGGGGUCAACCUCGCUCCGCCGUUGAAACUGGCGUUCUUGAGUGGGCGAGAAGUAUGCGGAAUGCGUGGUGUAGCGGUGAAAUGCAUAGAUAUCACGCAGAACUCCGAUUGCGAAGGCAGCAUACCGGCGCCCAACUGACGCUCAUGCACGAAAGUGUGGGUAUCGAACAGGAUUAGAUACCCUAGUAGUC